Non-coding RNA from Pelobates cultripes (western spadefoot toad), 2947 nucleotides. Lineage: Eukaryota; Metazoa; Chordata; Amphibia; Anura; Pelobatidae. The record is from the annotation of a GenBank genome assembly.
GGCAGGCAAACCCUUUUAAACCUAAAGCUUGCAUCUCUUUUGUUAAACAAUUGCAGAACAAGCUCUGGGCAACAUAUAUAAACCAGAGUUUGUGCAACACUCAUGCACUAAAGUCCAGGAUCUACAUUAGAGCCAAAAUGGGAAAGGUAAUCUAAGAAUGGAAAUUCUAAGUACAUAAACAAAGUAUUAAUGUAUUAUUAUAUAAUUUUUUUUCUCUUGUGUAUGAAGAGGUAAAAUUAUUUGUUUAAUUACAUAGUUAUUAUUCAAUACUCUUGUUAAAGAAGGCACUUUUUUGAGUAAAAAAAAAAAGUAGAUGUGUGGAGGAUAUCAAAUUUCUUUCUAAAAAAAACCUAGAAAAAAGUCUACAAAAAUGCUUAGUAUGCACAAAAAAAGUAAACUGUAUUUUUUAGUAAAUUAGAAAUUCCAUUAGAAAGGAAAUAGGAAAAAAUAUUACUUUCUUAAUAUUUAUUAGAGUAUUUCUUCUUUAACAUAGAUUUAGCUCCCCCAUUACAAUAAAAAAGAGUAAAAAAAAAACCAAAAAAACUUUAAACUUAUCUGUUAUAUAAUACUAGGACUAUCUCCAUGCAUUUUUUUUUUACACAAAUGUAGCUGCCAUUUCUGUCUAUGUGCAUGGUGUAUGUAGUUUUUAAUAAAUACCUGUCGAAUUUGUCAACUCAAAUAUAUGAAAACACUAAAGGCAGUUUGCUCAGAUGAUUGCAGGUGGCAUGUGCAUGCACAAGUAAACCUUUUUAUAGUGUACUGGUUUAGAUACUAUGGUAAUGUACUAGUUUAGAUGCUACGGUAAUAAACUGGACUUGAAUUAUGUCAGAUUUGAAAAAUUGUCAACAGCAAGUAGUGCUCAUCACCAGUGGAGGUGGACAUGGGUAAAGUGAAAGUUAAAACGCAAAUGGACCAUAGAAUCUGAUGAAACUUUUCAUCUGCAACAUUUACCAGCUUUUGGCACUAACAAUCUUAAAUGGCUGCUUUCUACCAUCAAAGAUGCAAAAAUGUAAACUGUUCCUUUUUACAUGGAUUUACUUUAAGCGUGGUACAGUCCUUGCCUAGGAUAUUAACCCUUUGUCAAUAUCCAAUCCUCUUGCAAUGACAUUGUGAGGAUUAGUAAUCUCGGAAUCAAUCGAUUGCUUCUCAUAGAAAAUGAUUGUGGACCUACAGUGUAUACAGGACAAUAUCCACGCUGUCAAAUUGUCAAAUUGAUGCUUCGCUUGGAGAAGAAAUUAAUCCAGUGCUUCUCUGGAAAAGUAUGGUUAGGAGGAUAAUAUAGCUUACAGAGAAUCUUUAGUUAAUUUACUUGUUGUGUGAGCAAAUACAGUUUUUCCUUUUUACACUUUAUUGUAUUUAUUUCCACAAUUUGACAGAACUGUUUUGAUUCAGUUUUUUUUCCCCUUUCACUUUUGGUUUCAGAUCAUCUUCUACGAGGACAAGAAUUUCCAGGGCCGUUCCUUUGAGUGCAGCUCUGAUAAUUCAGACUUGCACUCACAUUUUAGUCGUUGCAAUUCCAUUAAGGUGGAGAAUGGAAACUGGAUUGUAUAUGAGCGUGCAAACAACCAGGGGCACCAGUACUUCCUGAAGAGGGGAGAGUAUCCUGACUUCCAACACUGGAACGGCUUUAAUGAUUCCAUCAAUUCCUGCCGAAUAAUUCCACAGGUGUGUAGAGAUCCUUAGCUCUAUGUAAAAGUAGUCAUCAGUGGUGUGAAUAAUAAUUCUUAGCGACAAUGACAUUUCUUCAAACUCUAUUUGUAACAAUAAUGAAUAACAUAUAUGUGAGCGUACUGACUAAUAUCAAGUUACAACUGAAAAAAAUAUGCAUCAAACAUAAAUAUUGCUAACUGCAUAAAAUUUGUUAAUUGCUACAUUUCAAAAAAUUUUCUCGUUAUGACCGCUUCAUUGUGAAGCUGCAUUCUUAGUGAGCUGUCCAGGAGGUGGGAGGGUCUGGGAGGGAGGGUCUGCUGCUGAUUGGCUGGAAUGUGUUUGCUGACUGUGAGGUACAGGGUCAAAGUUUACUCAAUGAUGAGUCCGCUGCGAACCGUUCGGCGGACAGUUUGGGACAUCACUAACUAUCAAAUCUUUCUGAAAAAAAUUAGAAUUUAUUUUUACUCUCACCAUGUUUUGUUUUCAGACAGGCCUAAAUAUUCGAUCUUUAAAUCCCAGAUUCAUUGGCUUUUUAAAACUCUGAAUGCCAAUGGUCCUUUGAAUACUUAAGGCUUGUAGUGUACUAACAGCUUUGAAAAUCAUGGUUUCAAACUGAAAUAGACUGCCAGCUGAGAAAACCAGUUCUCAAGUGGAGAAUUGACAUUUUAGGCUAAAAUGGCAAAAAUCUCCAACUCAGUUAAUUCUCCAGUUACAAUUGUUGGCAUACAUUUAAUUAAGUUUCACUGAUUUCAGUAGUCAUAUGCACUUUGGAAAAAAAAUCUUCUCACUUCAUAUGUAUAAUUGACUGAUAUGAAUGAGUUAUUUUAAUUUAAUAUUUUAAAACUGUAGAUCUUUUUAACGUCAAAAUAGAAACCACUGAAAUGUUACUUUUUAAAAACAAGGUGUCUAUAUAUGUUUAUGUGUUUUUUAUUAUUUGUUUUGCAGUAUCGUGGGGCCUUUAGGAUAAGAAUUUACGAGAAAGAAGAUUUUAGAGGUCAUACAUUGGAGUUUACUGAGGAUUGCCCAAAGGUUCAGGAGGAAUUUAAUUAUAAUGACAUCCAUUCAUGCAAUGUACUCGAAGGCCAUUGGAUCUUCUAUGAGCUGCCAAAUUACAGAGGAAGGCAGUAUUAUCUUAGACCUGGAGAGUACAGGAGAUUCAGUGAGUGGGGUGCCAUGACUCCAAGGGUUGGUUCCUUCAGAAGAGUUCAGGAUAUAUAUUAAAUAUACAUUGUUUCUAUCCGAACUAUUUUUUUCUCAUUUUGACUUUCAAUAAAACAUCCUGAUAUUAAAAGUUGAA